Molecule: non-coding RNA, 2929 nt
Organism: Corylus avellana
Lineage: Eukaryota; Viridiplantae; Streptophyta; Magnoliopsida; Fagales; Betulaceae
Source: RefSeq, a predicted model, not a curated record
GAGGGAGGGAGUGAGGGAGAGAGUGUAGCUAGGGUAGAAAAUGCAUGCAGACGGAGAAGAUGAAAUUACACAUGAAACAACCUCCGAUAUCCCCUCAUUUCUGCUCUUCUCGUCGGACCCAGAAGACGAGAAUAACGCUCCUGCUAAACAUCCCUCAACAACCGACCACCAAGCCUACUAUGAACAAGACGACACUUUCGCUUCCGAUUUCUUUCGCUGCGGAGCCGAUUGGUCUUGCCUAUUACCGCAGGACCAAGACAGUAGUAUUUCUACUACUUCACGCAAUUCGGAGAGAAACCUGAAACAAACCAAUUUGUUCCAGAUGUGGGGACUGAAAAGACCCCAUCUCCAAAACGUCCCGUCUCGAACCCCUUUGAUUUUAAAGAAGAUGAAGAUUGGGAGGGAAGGAUCACCCCAUCUCAGAAACGCCACCACCACCACCGACACCGCUAAUCGCCCCCGUCUUUGCCCCUUCUACAAAAAAAUCCCCGGCACGCCCUUCACUGUUGAUGCAUUCCGCUAUGGUCGUGUUGAAGGAUGCUCCGCAUAUUUUCUAACCCAUUUCCAUAGCGACCACUAUGGCGGACUCAAUAAGGGAUGGUCGCAUGGCCCCAUCUAUUGCACCCCCCUCACUGCUCGCCUCCUUACAAUGCGUCUCUCCGUAAAUCCAUCAUUUAUCUGUCCUUUGGAGCUAAACAUUGAACAUGUAAUCGAAAGAGUCAAAGUGACAUUACUAGAAGCUAAUCAUUGCCCAGGUGCAGCUAUGAUUCACUUUCGUCUCUCAAAUGGCCAAUCCUAUUUGCAUACAGGAGACUUCAGAGCUUGUAAACUGGUGCAAGAUUAUCCCCUUCUUCGAAAUGAACGAGUAAAUGUACUUUACCUGGAUACAACAUAUUGCAACCCAAAGUACAAGUUCCCUUCCAAAGAAGAUGUCUUAAGUUAUGUUGUCAGAAUUACCCAGAACUGUCUUAAAAAGCAACCAAAAACUCUUGUUGUUGUUGGAGCCUAUAGCAUUGGCAAAGAAUGUGUUUAUCUAGCUAUUUCCAAGGCAUUAGGGGUUAAAAUAUAUGCAAACGCUUCAAGGAGACGAAUUUUGCAGUCUUUUGGCUGGCCCGAGCUUUCUGACAUUCUCUGUUUGAAUGGAAAGGACACACCUCUUCAUGUUCUGCCUAUGUCAUCCCUGAAAUUUGAGACUCUUAAGGAUUAUUUGAAGACCUUCAUGGGUCAAUUUGUGGCAGUUUUGGCAUUUCGGCCAACAGGUUGGACCUACUCUGAGACCAUAGGCAACCAACUGGAUCUAAUCAAACCUGGUUCUAAAGGCAAUGUCACAAUUUAUGGGGUUCCAUAUAGUGAGCACUCCAGUUUCACUGAACUACGAGAAUUUGUUCAGUGUUUGAGGCCUGAAAAGAUUAUUCCUACCGUCAAUGUUGGUACUGCAGCUAAUCGAGACAAGAUGCACUCCUACUUCAGAGAAUGGCUGAAAGGUUGACGUCCUAGCAAAGGUUUACAAAUGAAUUUUUCAAUUUCAGAUCUACCUUAUAACCUUAGAGCCUGUGAUAAAUGGACUCUUUAUUUGUCUUUCCUAUCACAAUAAUUUGAUUGGAUGCUUGAUCCAAAGCGUGUUUCUGCAAGUUCCUCCAAGCACUGCAACAUUAGCUUGUCAUAUCCAUGACCAUUCAUCAUAUAGUAAAGAGUUCACAAGUUGGCUGCAGAUGGUUUCACUGGAGUAUGCAGGGUAAGCAGAGAGCUUCAGUGUUUCAGCUUUGAUUUUUACUUUACGGAAAAGAGUCCUCUGAUUCUUGGGAAAAACAAUUAAAUGAGGAGUCAAGACAAAACAUUUAAUGGAUUUGUAAUCCUUUCAUGACAGUGUUUGUAAUCUUCUCAAAUCUGCAUCUAUGUUCCCUGCACCCUUGAAAAAUAUGAAGAUUUGUAUUACGUUUCUCAGAUUUGAGGAGGAACAAAGUCUGGCAGACUUGAAUCGAGGACUUGCAUGGGUACUUCACAAUGGUAAGAAACAAGCUCCUGAUUUUGUCGAUUUUUCCCUUGGCUCCUGGUGAUUUGAUCGUGUCCCAAAGAAAGAAAACAGAAGAGAAAAACAAUGGGAUUAGUCCAAAUCCUACAAUCAUCCUAACAGAUUAUGCAACAAAAAGUGCAGUAUCUACCAAUGCAACGUAUAAGUGAUACUAGGUAUUUUCCCAUGGAUUAUGAAUGGUUAAUUUUCCUGGAAUCAAGUCUGCGAUAUCAACCCUGAAUUUCCAAUAUAAAGACCUUAUGUCGACGAUUAAUUGGAAUUGGAAAUAAGCUCAUUUAGACGAGAACUGUGUCUCCAGAUUUUGGUUUUUUUUUUUUUUUUUUUGCAGAAUCAGAUUGCAAAAUCCUGACUUGCAGGACUACUCUUUUAGGCCUUACCCCUGGUUAAGGUCGUCCAGUUGGUACCACAUACAUUUUGGAAACCAGAGAAGCUGAUUUUAUCUGAACUUUGCUCAUCAUAGGUUUGCUUAUCUUCCUUUGAAGUCCAGAGAGUUCUGAAGAACUUGAGUCUCUCAAGCCACCACUCUACGCCUACGCUCUCUCUUGGUAUGUUUCCCCUGCACCUUUUUGUAUAACUCUUGGCAGAGCUUGAGAUAGAAGACAGAGAAGAGGCAUGAGAGAAGCACCCAUUCCAUUCAUGUAGGUGUAGGUUCAAACAGCCAAAACCUAGCCAUGGAGACGCCCCCAACUGUGGGGGCGUUACUUGCAAACCUUCACGGCAGAAAUUUUACUCGUUAUAAACUUCCAAUAUUCCAUAACCAGACAUUCAACAUCUUUGUUCCUUCGCCCAUAAACCAGACAUCCAACCUCCACCAUUGCACCUUCAUCUCGUAGAAUAGACAUAGGAUAGUAAUGUUAUUAAGUAUAUUGUUAUAUUAUUAUCAUAUAACUUAAUGAU